CACGAACCCGACAAACGUUAUUCGGAAUUAUUGGGCUUAAAGGGUGCGUAGGCGGUGCGGUAAGUGCGGUGUGAAAGCCCUCGGCUCAACCGAGGAAUUGCGCUGCAUACUGCCGUGCUGGAGGGAGACAGGGGUAAGCGGAACUGAUGGUGGAGCGGUGAAAUGCGUUGAUAUCAUCAGGAACACCGGUGGCGAAAGCG
RNAcentral lists this ribosomal RNA (200 nucleotides) under uncultured bacterium. RNAcentral's name for it is "partial 16S ribosomal RNA". It matches the Rfam family "Bacterial small subunit ribosomal RNA", at positions 524 to 723 of the family's 1533-position model. The record is from RNAcentral.